Molecule: unclassified non-coding RNA, 345 nt
Filed under: soil metagenome
Description: partial contains 5.8S ribosomal RNA, internal transcribed spacer 2, and large subunit ribosomal RNA
Rfam family: 5.8S ribosomal RNA (bases 1-119)
Source: RNAcentral
GAUGAAGAACGCAGCGAAAUGCGAUACGUAAUGUGAAUUGCAAAUUCAGUGAAUCAUCGAGUCUUUGAACGCACAUUGCGCCCCCUGGUAUUCCGGGGGGCAUGCCUGUCCGAGCGUCAUUGCUGCCCUCAAGCACGGCUUGUGUGUUGGGCCCCGUCCUCCGAUCCCGGGGGACGGGCCCGAAAGGCAGCGGCGGCACCGCGUCCGGUCCUCGAGCGUAUGGUGCUUUGUCACCCGCUCUGUAGGCCCGGCCGGCGCUUGCCGAUCAACCCAAAUUUUUAUCCAGGUUGACCUCGGAUCAGGUAGGGAUACCCGCUGAACUUAAGCAUAUCAAUAAGCGGAGGA